This 1200-nucleotide long non-coding RNA is filed under the name Bos grunniens (domestic yak). Its description in RNAcentral is "lncRNA (ENSBGRG00000011518.1)". Lineage: Eukaryota; Metazoa; Chordata; Mammalia; Artiodactyla; Bovidae. The record is from RNAcentral.
UCAGAGACAAAAAGUAGAAUGGUGGCUACCAGGGGCUGGGGGAAGGAAAGAAUGGGCAGUAACUGUUGGAUGGGGACAGUUUCACUUUUGCAAGAGUUCUGAGGAUGGAUGCUGGUGACAGCGGCAUAACACUGACUGUCCUUAAUCCAUGGUGUGUGCACUUAAUAAUGUGUGAGAUGGUAAAUCGGACAUUAUACACAUUUUACUACAGUUUUUUAAAGCAUACAGAAGUUGAGAAUUUCUGUCAAAAAAAAAAGAUUAAUGUAGGAAGGGUGGUGCAGUCAUGACAACUGUUAACUAAGAACUGCCGGCAAUGUGAAAAAGCAGGCUAACAUUACCCUAGACCAAAACACCUGAACACAGGAUUUAAUGUGGUAGGUGUCCAGGUGUCUGGAGGUGGCUACUGGUCAUCCUCACCAUUUCCCAUGUCUUCCCGAUUUUACAAAAUGAGCAUAUAUAUUCUUCUGACCAUGGGGUGGAGAGACAGGGUAAAUUAAGUACAAAAACCAACCACAAGAAAAGGAGAGGAAUAUGAAUAUUUAUUAAAUCUCUAGAUUGGGAUGGGUCUCAUGUUUAAUAGGAAAAGACAGGGAAGAAAUCACAUAGGAAAAGAGCAAUUUGUUUGAUUACUUAAGAAAGCAAAACCCGAAAUUUAAAGGCAAACUCACAUGAGAUAUACAAAUGCCCAACAAAUGUACACAGAGAACAAUGAUCAAGGCCAUUAAUAAGCAAAGAAUUCAAAGCUCAAAUAGGAUUCUACUUUCAGCUAUUAUUGGGAGGGUGGGUUUUUUUGUUUGUUUUUAUGGUCUGUAUUAUCUGUAUCCUUGUUUGCUUUAUUUUCAGUUUUACUAUCCUAAGGAGCAGGAGAGGACUAAAAUGGAGAUGCUUUGGCAACUUGGCACUAAGCGUCCAUCCUAAGGGAUUAAUAUGAAACACACAAAACAUUUUAUUCAUAAAGUUGCUUAUCACAACAUUAUUUACAAUACUGAAAAUCUGGAAAUUGACUAAAUUGCCAAUAACUGAAAGAAAGUUUAGAAAAUUAAGAUAAAACUACACCACACAAUAUACCACCACCAAUAUAAAGUAUCUGUAAUAACCACAUAGGAAAAUAGGAAUAUAAAACUGCAUGAUAAAGCACAUGGUAUGAUUACAACAGUGUAAAAAAUUUACACCCCAAAAAGGCAAGAUAUUUAGCGACUA